This 504-nucleotide ribosomal RNA is filed under the name uncultured bacterium. RNAcentral describes it as "partial 16S ribosomal RNA". It matches the Rfam family "Bacterial small subunit ribosomal RNA", at positions 899 to 1397 of the family's 1533-position model. The record is from RNAcentral.
ACUCAAAUGAAUUGACGGGGGCCCGCACAAGCGGCGGAGCAUGUUGCUUAAUUCGACGCAACGCGAAGAACCUUACCAAGGCUUGACAUUGCCCGGAAACACUCAGAGAUGGGUGCCUCUUCGGAUCGGGUGACAGGUGGUGCAUGGCUGUCGUCAGCUCGUGUCGUGAGAUGUUGGGUUAAGUCCCGCAACGAGCGCAACCCUUGUUCAAUGUUGCCAGCAACACCUUCGGGUGGUUGGGGACUCAUUGGAGACUGCCGGGGUCAACUCGGAGGAAGGUGGGGAUGACGUCAAGUCAUCAUGCCCCUUAUGUCUUGGGCUGCAAACAUGCUACAAUGGCCGGUACAGAGGGCUGCGAUACCGCAAGGUGGAGCGAAUCCCUAAAAGCCGGUCUCAGUUCGGAUUGGGGUCUGCAACUCGACCCCAUGAAGUCGGAGUCGCUAGUAAUCGCAGAUCAGCAACGCUGCGGUGAAUACGUUCCCGGGCCUUGUACACACCGCCCGU